UGCAGUAACUUUUUGUUAAUGUGCACGUCUUUGUUGCUGACUUCCUGAGGACGAGGCCCACAAGGGGGGAUAAGAAAAGGCUGCAUGCGCACAUUGGAACAGACGUGGAAGAAUACAAAGGUUAUGCCGACAUGUACCUUGGUCUUUGGCUAGAAAUCAUGUUUUCGUCAAGAGGGAGGGACACGUGAAGCAAUUUAAAGUGACCAAAUUUCACAAACGGGAGACACAUUCUGCGCAACAUGAAAAGGGUAUUUUUUUGGAGAGUUUUAGUAUGUAACAUAGGUUCGGUGGUUUCUGUUGUUUUACAUUGUUGGAAGGUGCAAGUUCGGUUCUUUCCAUUUUGCUAUGGAAAACAAAACAUGGGUUUUGUGUUUUGUUUAGUGGAAGGAAAAGACACGGUUUGCUCUCUUGGCUGGAACCCAUGUUUGUCUUCUAAGCUUAUCCGGUUCAGGUGGUUGCUGAAAGAAGUUCUCCAAUUCAUCACAGAAUGUUGAAUCUAUAAAAGAAAUGUCUGUUUCCUAUAAAUGUAACAACCGGGUUGUACAGAAUUUAUAUGUAUUUAGACUUCGAUUCAAGGAAGAAAUACAGUCUCAAUCGGAUGCAUGAAUGUGAAUAAUCUGACCAUCAUUGAAGUGCACUAGUAUUUUAACUUGGACAAUUCAUCUCAUGCCAUUCCUUUUCCUCAUGUCCAUUUCAUCAAGUCUCGUUUUCUACUUCCUAGUAGGGCUGAGAGAUGAAUUAAACUUCUUAAUGUACUUUGUUCUAUACAUUUUCAUGUCUCUUUUAGCAAGUGAAGCAAUUAUGUUUGUCACGGAAGUUGUUUAUCGUUUUGCUGUGUUCAUUUUAUUACGCAGAUAAUAAUCUCUGCUUAUCAGUUGUAGGUGUUAGAGAGUCGGUACAGAAUUUAGUAGUUUUUUUGGCUUACUUGCAUCGUUGCAUUGUACAAUGAAAUUAUUUUUUAUGCAUUUUGCAUUUCCUAUAUCAGUUUUCAGUUUAUAAUGAAUUUUUGUAGCUGUAUGUGUUUCGUCAAAUUAUUAUCAUUAAUUAAAUGUGUGUCAUUCUCAA
Arachis ipaensis is the source of this 1065-nucleotide non-coding RNA. NCBI's taxonomy places the organism in Eukaryota, Viridiplantae, Streptophyta, Magnoliopsida, Fabales, Fabaceae. The record is from RefSeq and is a predicted model, not a curated record.